RNAcentral lists this ribosomal RNA (497 nucleotides) under uncultured eukaryote. Its description in RNAcentral is "bacterial SSU rRNA". It matches the Rfam family "Eukaryotic small subunit ribosomal RNA", at positions 1100 to 1608 of the family's 1831-position model. The record is from RNAcentral.
GGAGUAUUCGGGUUCCGGGGGGAGUAUGGUCGCAAGGCCGAAACUUAAAGGAAUUGACGGAAGGGCACCACCAGGAGUGGAAUCUGCGGCUUAAUUUGACCCAACGCGGGAAAACUCACCAGGUCAGGACACGGUAAGGAUUGACGGACUGAAGGCUCUUUCUCGAUUCCGUGGAAAGUGGUGCAUGGCCGUUUUUGGUUGGUGGAUCGAUCCGUCUGGUUAAUUCCGUUAACGAACGAGACCUCGGCACUCCGAAUAGCGCGGCGGACGUCGCGGCCUCCGGGCCGUCUUCCGCACGAGCUUCUUAGAGGGACCGUCCCCCGCCGGGGAAGGAGGUGCGAGGCAACGACAGGUCUGUGAUGCCCUUAGAUGUUCUGGGCCGCACGCGCAUUACACUGACGCGUCCAACGGGUGACUCCCGACCCGAAGGGGCCGGGGAAUCCGCAAGGCGCGUCGUGAUGGGGAUUGAACGUUGCAAUUGUUGUUCACGAACGAGG